GAGAGCAGGCAGCAUAAAGGACUGAGGAUAAUAUGAAUAACGGUGAUGGAUCUAGUUGUAAAAUGGUCAGGUAGUGGUAGGAGCAUUUAUUCUUUGAGCUGUACAAGAGGAGGAGCAGGACUCAGAUCUUGGCAGGAAGUCCAGAUUACAGAGAGUGAAGGACUAAUGAAAGAUCUGAGUCGACAUGGAAGAUGGAAGAUGGAAGAGAUAGAGCUGUCCUCUGAAGAUGCUUGGUUCUUGAGCUACCUUAGAUCAAGAAAUGGAAGCAAAAUCUUUUGCUUAUUUGGUUCAAGCACAGAAGCAGGAAUAUUUAAAAGAACAUGAGGAGGAAGCAGUUGUAAUGCAGAGAUGUCUGUGUGAGAUACCUGAGCAAAAGCAAUCAGUUUGGCUCUACCACUGCACUGCUCCACGUGGCUGGAAUUAUUCUGCUGAAAAACAAGGGUGUUUGCCUGCUAAGGAGUCUUUGUUGCCUUGCUCAGUGAAAUGAGGAAUUACAAUGUUAGACUUGGCUGAGAAUGGGAAUAAGUAAUAGAAGAGCUUUCCCUAUCCCUGUCCCACCUGGAUCAUGCACCUGUGUUUAAAACUGAACAUCGGCCCUUCUUUCAGAAUAUAUCCCAAACAAACAUCCGUGAAACAGAAAAAGGCUACAACCAAGGCAGAGAACCGAACCCACAGGCAAUAGUAAUUACUGCCCUUCCAAGAAGAACUAAGAGAAAAGUCGCAGCUACCCCAGAGCUGCCCCUGGCAUGGCAUACUUCUACACAGCACCUUUCAUCUCACCAGGCUGAUGCAGAGAUUUCAUGGUAAAUUCUUAGGCUUUGCUAAUCAGACAAGCUUGUCCAGGCACAUAGAGCUGUGCGUACAACCUCCAUCUGCAAGAAAAACAUCAUGUCUUCAGGCUGAUAAGAUGUGGAUUGCUAUUCUAUUUGCUUGGGGUUCAUCUCCCACCAAAACCCAUGUUGAUUCUCAGUUGAUUGUAAGUUCAAGCGCUUCAUUGCAAAUGUUAAUCUUGCAGGCAGAUAGCUGGAGUCCUAUGCACGUUCUUCUUUUCUUUAUUUUUUUAUUUUUUGGCUCUUUUUUUGGGGGGGUAGAGGUAUGGGAAAGAUUAAUUAAGAAAGCAGAUUACAUUGGUCUGGUUUAUUUGCUCUUCUUCCUUCUCUAAAUAGGAGUGAACUUUGGCAGGGUUAGUUUUCUUGUUCCCUUCCACUAGAGGUAACAAAAUGUAAUUUUCUUUCACAAGGGCAACUUAGAAGAAAUUUACCCUCUGCUCUUGAGGCUGAGAUAGCAACAACGCUGCCUCAUUCAAGUGGCUACCAGUCAUUAUGAAAUGCAUGAAUAAGCAGAAACAAUUAAUUCACUGAGGCUGGACGAAAAUAUUUUUUGGGUGAUAGUGUAAUGUAAAUCAUUGUUUUACACAUUCCCUUUCAGUGAUUUAAUUCAUGCCUUUCUGACCCCCGCUGUGUUAUGAUUCAUAGAUUAGUGCUCAUGUGUGUAAUUUAACAAAGCUGAAUAACAAACAGCAAGGAGACUUAAACAAAUCAUUGCAUCUGAUGUUUUUACGAUAAAUUAGGAAAACAUCAUUAGUACCAUGCAGAAUGAUUAUGCUGCUGCAAUUUCUACAUAAGUACCUGUCAGGAAAAAAAGAAAAAUACACAAAACAUUGCAUAACAAGCAGUAAACCAGAUGUAGAGAUCCAAAACAAUGGCAGGCAAUAAUCCAUGUACUGUACUGUACCUGUAUUCCAAUAGACAAGCAUCUGUUUUUCUUGAAGUGGUCCUUCUUCCUAUCUUCUACUGCAACGGUGGCAAUGGUUGUGG
Pezoporus occidentalis (night parrot) is the source of this 1817-nucleotide long non-coding RNA. RefSeq lists it as uncharacterized. NCBI's taxonomy places the organism in Eukaryota, Metazoa, Chordata, Aves, Psittaciformes, Psittacidae. The transcript has 3 exons. The record is from RefSeq and is a predicted model, not a curated record.